RNAcentral lists this ribosomal RNA (490 nucleotides) under uncultured bacterium. Its description in RNAcentral is "partial 16S ribosomal RNA". It matches the Rfam family "Bacterial small subunit ribosomal RNA", at positions 29 to 507 of the family's 1533-position model. The record is from RNAcentral.
AGUGAACGCUGGCGGUAGGCCUAACACAUGCAAGUCGAACGGCAGCACAGGAGAGCUUGCUCUCUGGGUGGCGAGUGGCGGACGGGUGAGGAAUACAUCGGAAUCUGCCCAGUCGUGGGGGAUAACGUAGGGAAACUUACGCUAAUACCGCAUACGACCUUCGGGUGAAAGAGGGGGAUCGCAAGACCUCUCGCGAUUGGAUGAGCCGAUGUCGGAUUAGCUAGUUGGCGGGGUAAUGGCCCACCAAGGCGACGAUCCGUAGCUGGUCUGAGAGGAUGAUCAGCCACAAUGGAACUGAGACACGGUCCAGACUCCUACGGGAGGCAGCAGUGGGGAAUAUUGGACAAUGGGCGCAAGCCUGAUCCAGCCAUACCGCGUGGGUGAAGAAGGCCUUCGGGUUGUAAAGCCCUUUUGUUGGGAAAGAAAUCUUUCAGGCUAAUACCCUGGGAGGAUGACGGUACCCAAAGAAUAAGCACCGGCUAACUUCGUG